GAGCGCGGGGCGAGCCGAGGGGUUCAAGGGGAGCGGUUUGCCUCCCUCGCCCGGGCCGAGUGGACGUGCCGCCCGCUUGCCGUCUCCCUGUCGGAACAGCACCUUCUCGCUAAAGCGAUCGGAGGUCGGGCCGGGAGGGCGGGGGACGGAGGCGGGUCAUGGGCUGAGGGGGAGGGUAGGCGAGUGGCGGAAACCCUUAAACUCAGAGAAGCAUCGAGAACCGGAAGGAGACCUUAGGAGGAAGAAACUGGGCACAGAUUGCUGUUACACCAAGGGGACAGAGCUAUUAAGUGGGAGAAGUGGAAUUUGAAUAAGCCAGGGUGCACAGAUUAGUGAGGACUACUGGGACCUACCAACCAGAAACUCAACACACGGGGAGGACAAUGAAGCAGACUUCAAAGAAACCAGUUCCUGUUGCCCUCAUCUAACAAGCUUCAACAGAGAAGUACACUGACACUUUACUGCUAUGCAAUAAAGCACAGCAAACCGGGAAAAAUUGUGGUCAGA
Molecule: long non-coding RNA, 507 nt
Filed under: Mus caroli (Ryukyu mouse)
Lineage: Eukaryota; Metazoa; Chordata; Mammalia; Rodentia; Muridae
Description: lncRNA (MGP_CAROLIEiJ_G0003454.1)
Source: RNAcentral